UGGGGAAUAUUGGACAAUGGGCGCAAGCCUGAUCCAGCCAUGCCGCGUGAGUGACGAAGGCCUUAGGGUUGUAAAGCUCUUUUCAGACGGAAAGAAACGGUCACGGCCAAUACCCGUGACUAAUGACGGUACCGUCAGAAGAAGCACCGGCUAACUACGUGCCAGCAGCCGCGGUAAUACGUAGGGUGCGAGCGUUAAUCGGAAUUACUGGGCGUAAAGCGUGCGCAGGCGGUUUGGUAAGUCAGACGUGAAAUCCCCCGGCUUAACCUGGGAACUGCGUCUGAUACUGGAGGGCUUGAGUAUGGGAGAGGGAUGUAGAAUUCCAGGUGUAGCGGUGAAAUGCGUAGAUAUCUGGAGGAAUACCGGUGGCGAAGGCGGCAUCCUGGACCAUUACUGACGCUGAGGCGCGAAAGCUAGGGGAGCAAACAGGAUUAGAUACCCCCGUAGUCCCUGAGCGGGCUGGCAAGGCGCAU
RNAcentral lists this ribosomal RNA (473 nucleotides) under uncultured bacterium. RNAcentral's name for it is "bacterial SSU rRNA". It matches the Rfam family "Bacterial small subunit ribosomal RNA", at positions 355 to 825 of the family's 1533-position model. The record is from RNAcentral.